Molecule: ribosomal RNA, 1504 nt
Filed under: Campylobacter jejuni
Lineage: Bacteria; Pseudomonadati; Campylobacterota; Epsilonproteobacteria; Campylobacterales; Campylobacteraceae
Description: partial 23S ribosomal RNA
Rfam family: Bacterial large subunit ribosomal RNA
Source: RNAcentral
AGGUAAGCUACUAAGAGCGAAUGGUGGAUGCCUUGACUGGUAAAGGCGAUGAAGGACGUACUAGACUGCGAUAAGCUACGGGGAGCUGUCAAGAAGCUUUGAUCCGUAGAUUUCCGAAUGGGGCAACCCAAUGUAUAGAGAUAUACAUUACCUAUAUAGGAGCGAACGAGGGGAAUUGAAACAUCUUAGUACCCUCAGGAAAAGAAAUCAAUAGAGAUUGCGUCAGUAGCGGCGAGCGAAAGCGCAAGAGGGCAAACCCAGUGCUUGCACUGGGGGUUGUAGGACUGCAAUGUGCAAGAGGUAAGUUUAGCAGAACAUUCUGGAAAGUAUAACCAUAGAGGGUGAUAGUCCCGUAUGCGAAAAACAAACCUUAGCUAGCAGUAUCCUGAGUAGGGCGGGACACGAGGAAUCCUGUCUGAAUCCGGGUCGACCACGAUCCAACCCUAAAUACUAAUACCAGAUCGAUAGUGCACAAGUACCGUGAGGGAAAGGUGAAAAGAACUGAGGUGAUCAGAGUGAAAUAGAACCUGAAACCAUUUGCUUACAAUCAUUCAGAGCCCUAUGUAGCAAUACAGGGUGAUGGACUGCCUUUUGCAUAAUGAGCCUGCGAGUUGUGGUGUCUGGCAAGGUUAAGCAAACGCGAAGCCGUAGCGAAAGCGAGUCUGAAUAGGGCGCUUAGUCAGAUGCUGCAGACCCGAAACGAAGUGAUCUAUCCAUGAGCAAGUUGAAGCUAGUGUAAGAACUAGUGGAGGACUGAACCCAUAGGCGUUGAAAAGCCCCGGGAUGACUUGUGGAUAGGGGUGAAAGGCCAAUCAAACUUCGUGAUAGCUGGUUCUCUCCGAAAUAUAUUUAGGUAUAGCGUUGUGUCGUAAUAUAAGGGGGUAGAGCACUGAAUGGGCUAGGGCAUACACCAAUGUACCAAACCCUAUCAAACUCCGAAUACCUUAUAUGUAAUCACAGCAGUCAGGCGGCGAGUGAUAAAAUCCGUCGUCAAGAGGGAAACAACCCAGACUACCAGCUAAGGUCCCUAAAUCUUACUUAAGUGGAAAACGAUGUGAAGUUACUUAAACAACCAGGAGGUUGGCUUAGAAGCAGCCAUCCUUUAAAGAAAGCGUAAUAGCUCACUGGUCUAGUGAUUUUGCGCGGAAAAUAUAACGGGGCUAAAGUAAGUACCGAAGCUGUAGACUUAGUUUACUAAGUGGUAGGAGAGCGUUCUAUUUGCGUCGAAGGUAUACCGGUAAGGAGUGCUGGAGCGAAUAGAAGUGAGCAUGCAGGCAUGAGUAGCGAUAAUUAAUGUGAGAAUCAUUAACGCCGUAAACCCAAGGUUUCCUACGCGAUGCUCGUCAUCGUAGGGUUAGUCGGGUCCUAAGUCGAGUCCGAAAGGGGUAGACGAUGGCAAAUUGGUUAAUAUUCCAAUACCAACAUUAGUGUGCGAUGGAAGGACGCUUAGGGCUAAGGGGGCUAGCGGAUGGAAGUGCUAGUCUAAGGUCGUAGGAGGUUAUAC